RNAcentral lists this ribosomal RNA (305 nucleotides) under uncultured bacterium. Its description in RNAcentral is "bacterial SSU rRNA". It matches the Rfam family "Bacterial small subunit ribosomal RNA", at positions 334 to 652 of the family's 1533-position model. The record is from RNAcentral.
UUGUAUCUACGGGACGCAGCAGUAGGGAAUCUUUCACAAUGGGGGAAACCCUGACGCAGCAACGCCGCGUGCAGGAAGAAGGUCUUCGGAUUGUAAACUGUUGUCGCAGGGGAAGAAGACAGUGACGGUACCCUGUGAGAAAGUCACGGCUAACUACGUGCCAGCAGCCGCGGUAAUACGUAGGUGACAAGCGUUGUCCGGAUUUACUGGGUGUAAAGGGCGCGUAGGCGGGAUAGCAAGUCAGUCGUGAAAUGCCGAGGCUUAACCUCGGAGCUGCGAUUGAAACUGUUAUUCUUGAGUAUCGG